This 885-nucleotide ribosomal RNA is filed under the name Triticum aestivum (bread wheat). RNAcentral's name for it is "partial small subunit ribosomal RNA". Lineage: Eukaryota; Viridiplantae; Streptophyta; Magnoliopsida; Poales; Poaceae. The record is from RNAcentral.
AUGGACUUGGGCGUCGGGCCUUUUCCCACAGAAGAGCCCUGGUUCGUCCCGGCGCCGCGAUCCGCUCUGAGCCUUGGCUGCUGCAGCCUGGGCUCCUUGGUGACUCCUUCCCGUGCUCGCCUCUUUAACCGUGCGGUGCCGCUCAUCUCGCGCCACCAUCUCGUCCUCCUGCGAAUUCAAGACAAAAGAAACUCAUUCCUCGAGGACCGGACUAUCCUCCAGUUGGCGAUAUGCAACCUAUUCCUUGGCACAUGUGAUACGCUCCCUCCUCUAAACUUCAGCUAUGAGUUCAAGAGUGAUUAUUCCAACGGAUAUGCCAUCCUAACCGAUGCGGAUUGUCGAUCCAAAGAUGGGCCAUCGUCAUCUUUGCUACCGAGCAAAUCGCCUUUCUUCCGAGUGAUCAUCAUCGGCUCCGCACACCAAGACCCGCAGUAUAAUCUCUAUGUGAUCUCUUUUGACAGAAGAAGCUGGAGCGUCCAAGCCAAUUGCUUCAAUAAUAGUUUCCAACUGGAGCAUGACAUGUCGUUUAGCAAUGCUGUUGUGUGCCGUGGCAUCGCACACUGGGUAUUUUGCUAUCAUGGAGGUAUUCACGUACUUAACAUGAACGCAAGGACGUACCACAUCUCUACAUGGGAGUUCCCUAACGCAACGGACCACUUCCACACGGGUUACCCCUGCCUUACUCUAGCAAGCAAUGGGAAGCUAUCCCUGCUCCAGAUGCGAAGGAACCUUCCCCAAGUAGAGAUCUGGAAGCAUUAUGAGGACCACGAAAACCUAGCAAGUAUUAAGAAUUGGUUAUGUACUGGGACGAUCAAGUUAAACAAACUUGGAAAGUGGUUGAACGACGACAACGACAAGAUUUGGGAGAGAAGUGUGGUACACUAA